CUACGGGUUGCAGCAGUGGGGAAUAUUGCACAAUGGGGGAAACCCUGAUGCAGCAACGCCGCGUGGAGGAUGACGCAUUUCGGUGUGUAAACUCCUUUUAUAUAGGAAGAUAAUGACGGUACUAUAUGAAUAAGCACCGGCUAACUCCGUGCCAGCAGCCGCGGUAAUACGGAGGGUGCAAGCGUUACUCGGAAUCACUGGGCGUAAAGCGCGCGCAGGCGGCCCCUUAAGUUGGAUGUGAAAGCCUACGGCUUAACCGUAGAACUGCAUCCAAAACUGAGGGGCUAGAGUCUGGGAGGGGAAUAUGGAAUUAGUUGUGUAGGGGUAAAAUCCGUAGAGAUAACUAGGAAUACCAAAAGCGAAGGCGAUCUUCUGGAACAGUACUGACGCUGAGGCGCGAAAGCGUGGGGAGCAAACAGGAUUAGAUACCCCCGUAGUC
RNAcentral lists this ribosomal RNA (439 nucleotides) under uncultured bacterium. RNAcentral's name for it is "partial 16S ribosomal RNA". It matches the Rfam family "Bacterial small subunit ribosomal RNA", at positions 339 to 795 of the family's 1533-position model. The record is from RNAcentral.